Molecule: long non-coding RNA, 1385 nt
Organism: Symphalangus syndactylus (siamang)
Lineage: Eukaryota; Metazoa; Chordata; Mammalia; Primates; Hylobatidae
Source: RefSeq, a predicted model, not a curated record
AUGUCUAGCUCAGGGAUGGUAAACGCACCAAUCAGUGCCCUGUCAGAACAGACCACUCGGCUCUACCAAUCAGCAGGACGUGGGUGGGGCCAGAUAAAAGAACAAAAGCAGGCUGCCCGAGCCAGCAGUGGCAACCUGCUCGGGUCCCCUUCCACACUGUGGAAGCUUUGUUCUUUUGCUCUUUGCAAUAAAUCUUGCUACUGCUCACUCUUUGGGUCCACACUGCUUUUAUGAUCUGUAACACUCACUGCGAAGGUCUGCAGCUUCACUCCUGAAGCCAGCGAGACCACGAGCCCACCGGGAGGAACGAACAACUCCAGACGCGCCGCCUUAAGAGCUGUAACACUCACCGUGAAGGUCUGCAGCUUCACUCCUGAGCCAGCGAGACCACGAACCCACCAGACGGAAGAAACUCCGAACACAUCUGAACAUCAGAAGGAACAAACUCCGGACACGCCGCCUUUAGAACUCUAACACUCACCGCGAGGGUCCGCGGCUUCAUUCUUGAAGUCAGUGAGACCAAGAACCCACCAAUUCCGGACACAAUAUCCCCUGUGACCUGCACGUACACAUCCAGAUGGCUGGUUCCUGCCUUAACUGAGGACGUUCCACCAUGAAAGAAACAAAAAUGGCCUGUUCCUGCCUUAACUGAUGACAUUAUCUUGUGAAAUUCCUUCUCCUGGCUCAUCCUGGCUCAAAAGCUCCCCUACUGAGCACCUUGUGACCCCCCACUCCUGCCCGCCACUGAAAAACUCCAAUUUGACUACGCAAGUGAAAUUUGGUGCCGUGACUCAGAUCGGGGGACCUCCCUUGGAAAAUCAAUCCCCUGUCCUCCUGCUCUUUGCUCCAUGAAAAAGAUCCACCUACGACCUCGGGUCCUCAGACCCACCAGCCCAAGGAACAUCUCACCAAUUUUAAAUCGGCCACUCCCAGAGACCCUGGAACUCUGGCCCAAGACUCUCUGACUGACUCCUUCCCAGAUCUUCUCGGCUUAGCAGCUGAAGACUGACACUGCCUGAUCGCCUCGGAAGCCUACAGGACCAUCACAGACGCUCUGAGUAACUCUCACAGCGGAGGGACAUCCAGCAUAAUAUUGAAUUCAGAAGGAAUGACAGGAGACACACAUGGUUUAUUCCUGACCUUAAAGAGAUACUUUCAGUAUGUCAUCAUUAAGUAUAUGCUCAUGAAGCACUAAGAUCUUCAAUAUUAGAUGAAGGAAGUUGACUUCUAUUCAGAAGUUGCCAGAUUUUUUUUUGUUUUGUCCUAUUUAAAUAGAUAUCUGAUUUUUCUCCUUUAUUUGUAUUUGUAGUGAAUUACAACUACUGAUUUUUCUAAUGUUAAAACAACUUUACAUUUUUUGAAUAAACGCUGCUUUGUUAUGAUGG